UACGAAGGGGGGCUAGCGUUGCUCGGAAUCACUGGGCGUAAAGCGCACGUAGGCGGCUUUCUAAGUCAGGGGUGAAAUCCUGGAGCUCAACUCCAGAACUGCCUUUGAUACUGGAGAGCUUGAGUCCGGAAGAGGUGAGUGGAACUCCGAGUGUAGAGGUGAAAUUCGUAGAUAUUCGGAAGAACACCAGUGGCGAAGGCGGCUCACUGGUCCGGUACUGACGCUGAUGUGCGAAAGCGUGGGGAGCAAACAGG
This 254-nucleotide ribosomal RNA is filed under the name uncultured bacterium. RNAcentral's name for it is "partial 16S ribosomal RNA". It matches the Rfam family "Bacterial small subunit ribosomal RNA", at positions 524 to 776 of the family's 1533-position model. The record is from RNAcentral.